GAGCCCGGUGACAGGUGCUGCAUGGCUGUCGUCAGCUCGUGUCGUGAGAUUGUUGGGUUAAGUCCCGCAACGAGCCGCAACCCUCGCCUUUAGUUGCCAGCAUUCAGUUGGGCACUCUAAGGGACUGCCGGUGUCAAACCGGAGGAAGGUGGGGAUGACGUCAAGUCCUCAUGGCCUUUAUGUCUAGGGCUACACACGUACUACAAUGGCAGGUACAAAGGGCAGCGACACAGCGAUGUGAUGCGAAUCCCGAAAAGCCUGUCUCAGUCCGGAUCGGAGUCUGCAACUCGACUCCGUGAAGUUGGAAUCGCUAAGUAAUCGUGGAUCAGCAUGCCACGGUGAAUACGUUCCCGGGCCUU
This 359-nucleotide ribosomal RNA is filed under the name uncultured Desulfovibrio sp. RNAcentral describes it as "bacterial SSU rRNA". It matches the Rfam family "Bacterial small subunit ribosomal RNA", at positions 1024 to 1382 of the family's 1533-position model. The record is from RNAcentral. Lineage: Bacteria; Pseudomonadati; Thermodesulfobacteriota; Desulfovibrionia; Desulfovibrionales; Desulfovibrionaceae.